RNAcentral lists this ribosomal RNA (253 nucleotides) under uncultured bacterium. RNAcentral describes it as "partial 16S ribosomal RNA". It matches the Rfam family "Bacterial small subunit ribosomal RNA", at positions 524 to 776 of the family's 1533-position model. The record is from RNAcentral.
UACGUAGGGCGCAAGCGUUGUCCGGAAUUAUUGGGCGUAAAGAGCUCGUAGGCGGCUUGUCACGUCGGGUGUGAAAGCCCGGGGCUUAACCCCGGGUCUGCAUUCGAUACGGGCUAGCUAGAGUGUGGUAGGGGAGAUCGGAAUUCCUGGUGUAGCGGUGAAAUGCGCAGAUAUCAGGAGGAACACCGAUGGCGAAGGCAGGUCUCUGGGCCGAUACUGACGCUGAGGAGCGAAAGCGUGGGGAGCGAACAGG